GAUGAACGCUGGCGGCGUGCCCAACACAUGCAAGUCGAGCGAUUUACUUCGGUAAAGAGCGGCGGACGGGUGAGUAAAGCGUGGGUAACCUGCCCUGUACACACGGAUAACAUACAGAAAGGCAUGCUAAUACGAGAUAAUAUGCUUUUAUCGAAAGGUAGAAGUAUCAAAGUUUUUGCGGUACAGGAUGGACCCGCGUCUGAUUAGCUAGUUGGUAAGGUACCGGCUUACCAAAGCGACGAUCAGUAGCCGACCUGAGAGGGUGAUCUGCCACAUUGGAACUGAGACACGGUCCAAACUCCUACGGGAGGCAGCAGUGGGGAAUAUUGCACAAUGGGCGAAAGCCUGAUGCAGCAACGCCGCGUGAGCGAUGAAGGCCUUCGGGUCGUAAAGCUCUGUCCUCAAGGAAGAUAAUGACGGUACUUGAGGAGGAAGCCCCGCCUAACUACGUGCCAGCAGCCGCAGUAA
Molecule: ribosomal RNA, 468 nt
Filed under: uncultured bacterium
Lineage: Bacteria
Description: partial 16S ribosomal RNA
Rfam family: Bacterial small subunit ribosomal RNA
Source: RNAcentral